AGAUCAUCCGCCCGGGUAAUACGAGCGCUAGCUUAAAAUCCAAAGGACUUGGCGGUGCUUUAGACCCCCCUAGAGGAGCCUGUUCUAGAACUGAUAACCCCCGUUAAACCUCACCACCUCUUGCUUAAUCCGCCUAUAUACCACCGUCGUCAGCUUACCCUGUGAAGGUAAAAUAGUAAGCACAAUUGGCAAAGCCAUAAACGUCAGGUCGAGGUGUAGCGAAUGGGUUGGGAAGAAAUGGGCUACAUUCUCUACCACAGAGAAUACGAAUGGCCGUUUGAAAAGACCGCCUUGAAGGAGGAUUUAGCAGUAAGCGUAGAAUAGAGUGCUCCGCUGAAAACGGCCCUGAAGCGCGCACAC
RNAcentral lists this ribosomal RNA (360 nucleotides) under Gaidropsarus granti (Azores rockling). RNAcentral's name for it is "partial 12S ribosomal RNA". It matches the Rfam family "Bacterial small subunit ribosomal RNA", at positions 862 to 1388 of the family's 1533-position model. Lineage: Eukaryota; Metazoa; Chordata; Actinopteri; Gadiformes; Gaidropsaridae. The record is from RNAcentral.